CAGGAUUAGAUACCCUGGUAGUGCGUUCCCCUAAAAGAUGUCAACAUUGUUGUUGGGUCUUCGGAAUUCCAUCCCGAAGCUAACGCGUGAAGUUGACCGCCUGGGGAGGCAGGCCGCAAGGUUGAAACUCAAAGGAAUUGACGGGGACCCGCACAAGCCGGUGGAUGAUGUGGUUUAAUUUAAUUCAACGCGAAAAACCUUACCCACCUUUGACAUGUACGGAAUUCACCAGAGAUGGCUUAGUUUUUUAAAGAGGACCGUUACACAGCCCUCUCAAUUAGAAAAUCAGCUCGUGUCGUGAGAUGUUGGGGUAAGUCCCGCAAAGAGCGCAUCCCUUGUCAUUAGUUGCUACAUUUAGUUGGGCACUCAAAUGAGAAAUUCGGUGACAAACCGGAGGAAGGUGGGGAUGACGUCAAGUCCUCAUGGCCCUUAUAGGGGGGGCUACACACGUCAUACAAUGGCUGGUACAAAGGGUUGCCAACCCUCGAGGGGGAGCUAAUCCCAUAAAACCCGUUGUAGUCCGGAAAGCUGUUUGGAUCUCGACCUUUCAUAGUCGGAAUCGAUAGGAAAUUAGGACCACAAUGGCUCGGUGAUCCCGUUCCCGGGUGCUGGUCACACCGCCCGUCACACCAUGGGAGCACGGUUCCGCC
Molecule: ribosomal RNA, 650 nt
Filed under: Variovorax sp. AD39
Lineage: Bacteria; Pseudomonadati; Pseudomonadota; Betaproteobacteria; Burkholderiales; Comamonadaceae
Description: bacterial SSU rRNA
Rfam family: Bacterial small subunit ribosomal RNA
Source: RNAcentral